Molecule: ribosomal RNA, 253 nt
Filed under: uncultured bacterium
Lineage: Bacteria
Description: partial 16S ribosomal RNA
Rfam family: Bacterial small subunit ribosomal RNA
Source: RNAcentral
UACAGAGGGUGCAAGCGUUGUCCGGAAUUACUGGGCGUAAAGGGCGCGUAGGCGGCUCGAUAAGUAGGAGGUGAGAUCCCGUGGCUCAACCACGGAACCGCCUUCUAGACUGUCGGACUUGAGCACGGUAGAGGCAGAUGGAAUUCCCGGUGUAGCGGUGGAAUGCGUAGAGAUCGGGAAGGACACCAGUGGCGAAGGCGGUCUGCUGGGCCGUUGCUGACGCUGAGGCGCGACAGCGUGGGGAGCAAACAGG